RNAcentral lists this ribosomal RNA (253 nucleotides) under uncultured bacterium. RNAcentral describes it as "partial 16S ribosomal RNA". It matches the Rfam family "Bacterial small subunit ribosomal RNA", at positions 524 to 776 of the family's 1533-position model. The record is from RNAcentral.
GACGAACCGUGCGAACGUUGUUCGGAAUCAUUGGGCUUAAAGGGCGCGUAGGCGGGCUAUCAAGUCCGGGGUGAAAUCCUCCCGCUCAACGGGAGAACGGCCUCGGAUACUGAUGGCCUCGAGGGGGAUAGGGGCACACGGAACUGUGGGUGGAGCGGUGAAAUGCGUUGAUAUCCAUAGGAACUCCGGUGGCGAAAGCGGUGUGCUGGAUCCCUUCUGACGCUGAGGCGCGAAAGCCAGGGGAGCGAACGGG